GUCCUCGCUUCAUAGCACAUAUUCUAAAAUUAGAGCAAUACAGAGAAGAUUAGCAUGGCCCCUACACAAGGAAAAUAUGAAAAUUCAUGAAGCAUUCAAUAUUUUU
RNAcentral lists this small nuclear RNA (106 nucleotides) under Echinops telfairi (small Madagascar hedgehog). The record is from RNAcentral. Lineage: Eukaryota; Metazoa; Chordata; Mammalia; Afrosoricida; Tenrecidae.